RNAcentral lists this unclassified non-coding RNA (207 nucleotides) under Hevea brasiliensis (rubber tree). Lineage: Eukaryota; Viridiplantae; Streptophyta; Magnoliopsida; Malpighiales; Euphorbiaceae. The record is from RNAcentral.
AUUUGAAGCAGAAGCAUUGGAAAGAGGUUGCUGAUAUUGUGAGCAGUAGAGAGGAUUAUACGAAAAUACCAAGGACUGAUAUUCAGUGCAAGAAUCGGAUUGAUACGGUCAAGAAGAAGUAUAAGACUGAGAAGGCUAAGAUUACUGCUGGUGGAGGCCCCAGUAAGUGGCCAUUUUAUGAUAGAUUGGAUCAAUUGAUCGGUCCGG